RNAcentral lists this ribosomal RNA (719 nucleotides) under Bacillus sp. HPB25. RNAcentral's name for it is "bacterial SSU rRNA". It matches the Rfam family "Bacterial small subunit ribosomal RNA", at positions 48 to 748 of the family's 1533-position model. Lineage: Bacteria; Bacillati; Bacillota; Bacilli; Caryophanales; Bacillaceae. The record is from RNAcentral.
AAACUAAAUGGCAAGUCGAGCGGAUUGAUGGGAGCUUGCUCCCUGAAGUCAGCGGCGGACGGGUGAGUAACACGUGGGUAACCUGCCUGUAAGACUGGGAUAACUCCGGGAAACCGGGGCUAAUACCGGAUAGUUCUUUUCCUCGCAUGAGGAAAAGUGGAAAGGCGGCUUCGGCUGCCACUUACAGAUGGACCCGCGGCGCAUUAGCUAGUUGGUGAGGUAACGGCUCACCAAGGCAACGAUGCGUAGCCGACCUGAGAGGGUGAUCGGCCACACUGGGACUGAGACACGGCCCAGACUCCUACGGGAGGCAGCAGUAGGGAAUCUUCCGCAAUGGACGAAAGUCUGACGGAGCAACGCCGCGUGAGUGAUGAAGGUUUUCGGAUCGUAAAGCUCUGUUGUUAGGGAAGAACAAGUGCCGUUCGAAUAGGGCGGCGCCUUGACGGUACCUAACCAGAAAGCCACGGCUAACUACGUGCCAGCAGCCGCGGUAAUACGUAGGUGGCAAGCGUUGUCCGGAAUUAUUGGGCGUAAAGCGCGCGCAGGCGGUCUCUUAAGUCUGAUGUGAAAGCCCACGGCUCAACCGUGGAGGGUCAUUGGAAACUGGGGGACUUGAGUACAGAAGAGGAAAGUGGAAUUCCACGUGUAGCGGUGAAAUGCGUAGAUAUGUGGAGGAACACCAGUGGCGAACGCGACUUUCUGGUCUGUAACUGACGCUG